This 915-nucleotide ribosomal RNA is filed under the name uncultured Lactobacillus sp. RNAcentral describes it as "bacterial SSU rRNA". It matches the Rfam family "Bacterial small subunit ribosomal RNA", at positions 51 to 932 of the family's 1533-position model. Lineage: Bacteria; Bacillati; Bacillota; Bacilli; Lactobacillales; Lactobacillaceae. The record is from RNAcentral.
AUACAUGCAAGUCGAGCGAGCUUGCCUAUAGAAAUUCUUCGGAAUGGACAUAGAUACAAGCUAGCGGCGGAUGGGUGAGUAACGCGUGGGUAACCUGCCCUUAAGUCUGGGAUACCAUUUGGAAACAGAUGCUAAUACCGGAUAAAAGCUACUUUCGCAUGAAAGAAGUUUAAAAGGCGGCGUAAGCUGUCGCUAAAGGAUGGACCUGCGAUGCAUUAGCUAGUUGGUAAGGUAACGGCUUACCAAGGCGAUGAUGCAUAGCCGAGUUGAGAGACUGAUCGGCCACAUUGGGACUGAGACACGGCCCAAACUCCUACGGGAGGCAGCAGUAGGGAAUCUUCCACAAUGGACGAAAGUCUGAUGGAGCAACGCCGCGUGAGUGAAGAAGGUUUUCGGAUCGUAAAGCUCUGUUGUUGGUGAAGAAGGAUAGAGGUAGUAACUGGCCUUUAUUUGACGGUAAUCAACCAGAAAGUCACGGCUAACUACGUGCCAGCAGCCGCGGUAAUACGUAGGUGGCAAGCGUUGUCCGGAUUUAUUGGGCGUAAAGCGAGCGCAGGCGGAUUGAUAAGUCUGAUGUGAAAGCCUUCGGCUCAACCGAAGAACUGCAUCAGAAACUGUCAAUCUUGAGUGCAGAAGAGGAGAGUGGAACUCCAUGUGUAGCGGUGGAAUGCGUAGAUAUAUGGAAGAACACCAGUGGCGAAGGCGGCUCUCUGGUCUGUAACUGACGCUGAGGCUCGAAAGCAUGGGUAGCGAACAGGAUUAGAUACCCUGGUAGUCCAUGCCGUAAACGAUGAGUGCUAAGUGUUGGGAGGUUUCCGCCUCUCAGUGCUGCAGCUAACGCAUUAAGCACUCCGCCUGGGGAGUACGACCGCAAGGUUGAAACUCAAAGGAAUUGACGGGGGCCCGCACAAGCGG